UGGGGAAUAUUGGACAAUGGGCGAAAGCCUGAUCCAGCCAUGCCGCGUGUGUGAAGAAGGUCUUCGGAUUGUAAAGCACUUUAAGUUGGGAGGAAGGGUUGUAGAUUAAUACUCUGCAAUUUUGACGUUACCGACAGAAUAAGCACCGGCUAACUCUGUGCCAGCAGCCGCGGUAAUACAGAGGGUGCAAGCGUUAAUCGGAAUUACUGGGCGUAAAGCGCGCGUAGGUGGUUUGUUAAGUUGGAUGUGAAAGCCCCGGGCUCAACCUGGGAACUGCAUCCAAAACUGGCAAGCUAGAGUACGGUAGAGGGGGGUGGAAUUUCCUGUGUAGCGGUGAAAUGCGUAGAUAUAGGAAGGAACACCAGUGGCGAAGGCGACCACCUGGACUGAUACUGACACUGAGGUGCGAAAGCGUGGGGAGCAAACA
Molecule: ribosomal RNA, 427 nt
Filed under: uncultured bacterium
Lineage: Bacteria
Description: partial 16S ribosomal RNA
Rfam family: Bacterial small subunit ribosomal RNA
Source: RNAcentral